GACGGAGGAUGCAAGUGUUAUCCGGAAUCACUGGGCGUAAAGCGUCUGUAGGUGGUUUAAUAAGUCAACUGUUAAAUCUUGAGGCUCAACUUCAAAAUCGCAGUCGAAACUAUUAGACUAGAGUAUAGUAGAGGUAAAGGGAAUUUCCAGUGGAGCGGUGAAAUGCGUAGAUAUUGGAAAGAACACCGAUGGCGAAAGCACUUUACUGGGCUAUUACUAACACUCAGAGACGAAAGCUAGGGUAGCAAAUGGGAUUAGAUACCCCAGUAGUCCUAGCCGUAAACUAUGGAUACUAGAUGUUGAAUAGUCGCUACAGUAUCAAAGCUAACGCGUUAAGUAUCCCGCCUGGGAAGUAUGCUCGCAAGAGUG
RNAcentral lists this ribosomal RNA (369 nucleotides) under uncultured phototrophic eukaryote. RNAcentral's name for it is "SSU rRNA". It matches the Rfam family "Bacterial small subunit ribosomal RNA", at positions 524 to 896 of the family's 1533-position model. The record is from RNAcentral.